UACGAAGGUCCCGAGCGUUGUUCGGAUUCACUGGGCGUAAAGGGUGCGUAGGUGGUUGGGUAAGUUUGAUGUGAAAGCUCAGGGCUUAACCCUGAAAUGGCAUUGAAUACUACUUAACUGGAGGUUUGGAGGGGGGACUGGAAUUCUUGGUGUAGCAGUGAAAUGCGUAGAUAUCAAGAGGAACACCAGUGGCGAAGGCGAGUCCCUGGACAACACCUGACACUGAGGCACGAAAGCUAGGGGAGCAAACAGG
Molecule: ribosomal RNA, 253 nt
Filed under: uncultured bacterium
Lineage: Bacteria
Description: partial 16S ribosomal RNA
Rfam family: Bacterial small subunit ribosomal RNA
Source: RNAcentral